Homo sapiens (human) is the source of this 105-nucleotide small nucleolar RNA. The record is from RefSeq and is marked validated. NCBI's taxonomy places the organism in Eukaryota, Metazoa, Chordata, Mammalia, Primates, Hominidae.
GUCUGUCAAGGAUGUUCGUCGUGGCAACGUUGCUGGUGACAGCAAAAAUGACCCACCAAUGGAAGCAGCUGGCUUCACUGCUCAGGUGAUUAUCCUGAACCAUCC